GAUGAACGCUAGCGGGAGGCCUAACACAUGCAAGCCGAGCGGUAUGGAUAGCUUGCUAUCCAGAGAGCGGCGUACGGGUGCGUAACACGUGUGCAACCUACCUUUAUCUGGGGGAUAGCCUUUCGAAAGGAAGAUUAAUACCCCAUAAUAUAAUGAUUGGCAUCAAUUAUUAUUGAAAACUCCGGUGGAUAGAGAUGGGCACGCGCAAGAUUAGAUAGUUGGUGAGGUAACGGCUCACCAAGUCAAUGAUCUUUAGGGGUCCUGAGAGGGAGAUCCCCCACACUGGUACUGGGACACGGACCAGACUCCUACGGGAGGCAGCAGUGAGGAAUAUUGGACAAUGGGUGAGAGCCUGAUCCAGCCAUCCCGCGUGAAGGAUGACGGUCCUAUGGAUGGUAAACUUCUUUUGUACAGGGAUAAACCUACCCUCGGGAGGGUAGCUGAAGGUACUGUACGAAUAAGCACCGGCUAACUCCGUG
Molecule: ribosomal RNA, 479 nt
Filed under: uncultured bacterium
Lineage: Bacteria
Description: partial 16S ribosomal RNA
Rfam family: Bacterial small subunit ribosomal RNA
Source: RNAcentral